RNAcentral lists this ribosomal RNA (501 nucleotides) under Scheffersomyces stipitis. RNAcentral describes it as "eukaryotic LSU rRNA". It matches the Rfam family "Eukaryotic large subunit ribosomal RNA", at positions 35 to 543 of the family's 3401-position model. The record is from RNAcentral. Lineage: Eukaryota; Fungi; Ascomycota; Pichiomycetes; Serinales; Debaryomycetaceae.
UAAGCAUAUCAAUAAGCGGAGGAAAAGAAACCAACAGGGAUUGCCUUAGUAACGGCGAGUGAAGCGGCAAAAGCUCAAAUUUGAAAUCUGGCACCUUCGGUGUCCGAGUUGUAAUUUGAAGAAGGUAACUUUGGAGUCAGCUCUUGUCUAUGUUCCUUGGAACAGGACGUCACAGAGGGUGAGAAUCCCGUGCGAUGAGAUGUCUGAUUCUAUGUAAAGUGCUUUCGAAGAGUCGAGUUGUUUGGGAAUGCAGCUCUAAGUGGGUGGUAAAUUCCAUCUAAAGCUAAAUAUUGGCGAGAGACCGAUAGCGAACAAGUACAGUGAUGGAAAGAUGAAAAGAACUUUGAAAAGAGAGUGAAAAAGUACGUGAAAUUGUUGAAAGGGAAGGGUUUGAGAUCAGACUUGGUAUUUUGUAUGUCUUGCUUUCGGGUGGGGCCUCUACAGUUUACUGGGCCAGCAUCGGUUUGGACGGUAGGAUAAUGACAUUGGAAUGUGGCACCA